This 98-nucleotide signal recognition particle RNA is filed under the name Pseudomonadota bacterium. RNAcentral's name for it is "Proteobacteria bacterium signal recognition particle sRNA small type". It matches the Rfam family "Bacterial small signal recognition particle RNA". Rfam says of the family: The signal recognition particle (SRP) is a universally conserved ribonucleoprotein involved in the co-translational targeting of proteins to membranes. The record is from RNAcentral. Lineage: Bacteria; Pseudomonadati; Pseudomonadota. RNAcentral also lists the same sequence under 1 other name.
UAGCGGGCUUAUUGCAUUACUUAAAAUGUCAAUCUGGUCAGGUCGGAAACGGAGCAGCCAAGGCAAUUGAUGGUAAGUGUAAGUGUAGCCCGCACAGU